UACAGAGGUCUCAAGCGUUUGUUCGGAUUCAUUGGGCGUAAAGGGUGCGUAGGUGGCGGGGUAAGUCAGGUGUGAAAUUUCGGAGCUUAACUCCGAAACUGCAUUUGAUACUGCCUUGCUUGAGGACUGGAGAGGAGACUGGAAUUCACGGUGUAGCAGUGAAAUGCGUAGAGAUCGUGAGGAAGACCAGUGGCGAAGGCGGGUCUCUGGACAGUUCCUGACACUGAGGCACGAAGGCCAGGGGAGCAAACAGG
Molecule: ribosomal RNA, 254 nt
Filed under: uncultured bacterium
Lineage: Bacteria
Description: partial 16S ribosomal RNA
Rfam family: Bacterial small subunit ribosomal RNA
Source: RNAcentral